GAAUCCCGUCUUUGGCACGGAUGCACCAGGGCUUUUGUGAUGCGCUCUCGAAGAGUCGAGUUGUUUGGGAAUGCAGCUCAAAAUGGGUGGUGAACUCCAUCUAAAGCUAAAUAUUGGCGAGAGACCGAUAGCGAACAAGUACCGUGAGGGAAAGAUGAAAAGCACUUUGGAAAGAGAGUGAAACAGUACGCGAAAUUGUUGAAAGGGAAACGCUUGAAGUCAGUCGCGUCGACCGAGACUCAGCCUUGCCUCGGCUCGGUGUACUUCUCGGCCGACGGGUCAGCAUCAAUUUUGCCCCUCGGAUAAUGGCGAGAGAAAGGUGGCACCCUCACGGGUGUGUUAUAGUCUCCCGUCGGAUGCGAGGGUCGGGAUUGAGGAACUCGGCACGUACCGUGCUUAGGAUGUUGGCAUAAUGGCUUUAAACGACCCGUCUUGAAACACGGACCAAGGAGUCUAACAUGCCCGCGAGUGUUCGGGUGGAAAACCCGUGCGCGUAAUGAAAGUAAAAGUUGGGACCCCUGUCGUGGGGGGCACCGACGCCCGGACCAGACCUUCUGUGACGGAUCUGCGGUAGAGCGUGCAUGUUGGGACCCGAAAGAUGGUGAACUAUGCCUGAAUAGGGUGAAGCCAGAGGAACUCUGGUGGAGGCUCGUAGCGAUUCUGACGUGCAAAUCGAUCGUCAAAUUUGGGUAUAGGGGCGAAAGACUAAUCGAACCAUCUAGUAGCUGGUUCCUGCC
RNAcentral lists this ribosomal RNA (737 nucleotides) under uncultured Russula. RNAcentral describes it as "partial 28S ribosomal RNA". It matches the Rfam family "Eukaryotic large subunit ribosomal RNA", at positions 216 to 962 of the family's 3401-position model. The record is from RNAcentral. Lineage: Eukaryota; Fungi; Basidiomycota; Agaricomycetes; Russulales; Russulaceae.